This 501-nucleotide ribosomal RNA is filed under the name uncultured bacterium. RNAcentral describes it as "partial 16S ribosomal RNA". It matches the Rfam family "Bacterial small subunit ribosomal RNA", at positions 29 to 523 of the family's 1533-position model. The record is from RNAcentral.
AUUGAACGCUGGCGGCAUGCCUUACACAUGCAAGUCGAACGGCAGCACGGGUGCUUGCACCUGGUGGCGAGUGGCGAACGGGUGAGUAAUACAUCGGAACGUACCUUAUCGUGGGGGAUAACGCAGCGAAAGCUGUGCUAAUACCGCAUACGCCCUGAGGGGGAAAGCGGGGGAUCGCAAGGCCUCGCGCGAUUAGAGCGGCCGAUGCCUGAUUAGCUUGUUGGUGGGGUAAAAGCCCACCAAGGCGACGAUCAGUAGCUGGUCUGAGAGGAGGAUAAGCACCACUGGGACUGAGACACGGCGCAGAGUCCUACGGGAGGCAGCAGUGGGGGAUUUUGGACAAUGGGGGCAACCCUGAUCCAGCAAUGCCGCGUGAGUGAAGAAGGCCUUCGGGUUGUAAAGCUCUUUUGUCAGGGAAGAAACACCGGCUCUAACACAGUCCGGGAAUGACGGUACCUGAAGAAUAAGCACCGGCUAACUACGUGCCAGCAGCCGCGGUAA